GACGAACGCUGGCGGCGUGCCUAAUACAUGCAAGUAGAACGCUGAAGGAGGAGCUUGCUCUUCUGGAAGAGUUGCGAACGGGUGAGUAACGCGUAGGUAACCUGCCUGGUAGCGGGGGAUAACUAUUGGAAACGAUAGCUAAUACCGCAUAAUAUUGAAUAUCGCAUGAUAAUUGAUUAAAAGAUGCAAUUGCAUCACUACCAGAUGGACCUGCGUUGUAUUAGCUAGUAGGUGAGGUAACGGCUCACCUAGGCGACGAUACAUAGCCGACCUGAGAGGGUGAUCGGCCACACUGGGACUGAGACACGGCCCAGACUCCUACGGGAGGCAGCAGUAGGGAAUCUUCGGCAAUGGGGGCAACCCUGACCGAGCAACGCCGCGUGAGUGAAGAAGGUUUUCGGAUCGUAAAGCUCUGUUGUAAGAGAAGAACGAGUGUGAGAGUGGAAAGUUCACACUGUGACGGUAUCUUACCAGAAAGGGACGGCUAACUACGUGCCAGCAGCCGCGGUAAUACGUAGGUCCCGAGCGUUGUCCGGAUUUAUUGGGCGUAAAGCGAGCGCAGGCGGUUAGAUAAGUCUGAAGUUAAAGGCUGUGGCUUAACCAUAGUACGCUUUGGAAACUGUUUAACUUGAGUGCAGAAGGGGAGAGUGGAAUUCCAUGUGUAGCGGUGAAAUGCGUAGAUAUAUGGAGGAACACCGGUGGCGAAAGCGGCUCUCUGGUCUGUAACUGACGCUGAGGCUCGAAAGCGUGGGGAGCGAACAGG
This 763-nucleotide ribosomal RNA is filed under the name uncultured Streptococcus sp. RNAcentral's name for it is "bacterial SSU rRNA". It matches the Rfam family "Bacterial small subunit ribosomal RNA", at positions 28 to 776 of the family's 1533-position model. The record is from RNAcentral. Lineage: Bacteria; Bacillati; Bacillota; Bacilli; Lactobacillales; Streptococcaceae.